CUACGGGGUGCAGCAGUGGGGAAUAUUGCACAAUGGGCGCAAGCCUGAUGCAGCCAUGCCGCGUGUAUGAAGAAGGCCUUCGGGUUGUAAAGUACUUUCAGCGGGGAGGAAGGGAGUAAAGUUAAUACCUUUGCUCAUUGACGUUACCCGCAGAAGAAGCACCGGCUAACUCCGUGCCAGCAGCCGCGGUAAUACGGAGGGUGCAAGCGUUAAUCGGAAUUACUGGGCGUAAAGCGCACGCAGGCGGUUUGUUAAGUCAGAUGUGAAAUCCCCGGGCUCAACCUGGGAACUGCAUUGGAUACGGGCAAGCAUGAGUCUCGUAGAGGGGGGUAGAAUUCCAGGUGUAGCGGUGAAAUGCGUAGAGAUCUGGAGGAAUACCGGUGGCGAAGGCGGCCCCCUGGACGAAGACUGACGCUCAGGUGCGAAAGCGUGGGGAGCAAACAGGAUUAGAUACCCGGGUAGUC
Molecule: ribosomal RNA, 464 nt
Filed under: uncultured bacterium
Lineage: Bacteria
Description: partial 16S ribosomal RNA
Rfam family: Bacterial small subunit ribosomal RNA
Source: RNAcentral